GAAAGUUUCUUUUGGAAAUUUUUCGGAAGGAAAAAAGGAAUGGAAAUUAGCGGACGGGUGAGUAACGCGUGAGAAACCUGCCUCACACAAGGGGAUAGCCAUUGGAAACGGUGAUUAAUACCCUAUGACAUGGACGCUUCGCAUGGAGCAGCCAUUAAAGUGUUAGCGGUGUGAGAUGGUCUCGCGUCUGAUUAGCUAGUUGGUGAGAUAAUAGCUCACCAAGGCGGCGAUCAGUAGCCGGCUUGAGAGAGUGAACGGCCACACUGGAACUGAGACACGGUCCAGACUCCUACGGGAGGCAGCAGUGGGGAAUAUUGCACAAUGGAGGAAACUCUGAUGCAGCGACGCCGCGUGAGCGAAGAAGGCCUUCGGGUUGUAAAGCUCUGUCCUUGGUGAAGAUAAUGACGGUAGCCAAGGAGGAAGCCCCGGCUAACUACGUGCCAGCAGCCGCGGUAAUACGUAGGGGGCGAGCGUUGUCCGGAAUUAUUGGGCGUAAAGGGUACGUAGGCGGUUUUUUAAGUCAGCAGUUAAGGCGCGGGGCUCAACCCCGUAAAGCUGUUGAAACUGGAGAACUUGAGAGAUGGAGAGGAAAGUGGAAUUCCUAGUGUAGCGGUGAAAUGCGUAGAUAUUAGGAGGAAUACCGGUGGCGAAGGCGACUUUCUGGACAUCAACUGACGCUGAGGUACGAAAGCGUGGGGAGCAAACAGGAUUAGAUACCCUGGUAGUCCACGCCGUAAACGAUGAGUGCUAGGUGUCGGGGGUCAAACCUCGGUGCCG
Molecule: ribosomal RNA, 777 nt
Filed under: uncultured bacterium
Lineage: Bacteria
Description: bacterial SSU rRNA
Rfam family: Bacterial small subunit ribosomal RNA
Source: RNAcentral